CGUAAAAGGCGGCUUUUGCCGUCACUUUCAGAUGGACCCGCGGCGCAUUAGCUAGUUGGUAAGGUAACGGCUUACCAAGGCAACGAUGCGUAGCCGACCUGAGAGGGUGAUCGGCCACACUGGGACUGAGACACGGCCCAGACUCCUACGGGAGGCAGCAGUAGGGAAUCUUCCGCAAUGGACGAAAGUCUGACGGAGCAACGCCGCGUGAACGAUGAAGGUCUUCGGAUCGUAAAGUUCUGUUGUUAGGGAAGAACAAGUACCAGAGGAAAUGCUGGUACCUUGACGGUACCUAACCAGAAAGCCACGGCUAACUACGUGCCAGCAGCCGCGGUAAUACGUAGGUGGCAAGCGUUGUCCGGAAUUAUUGGGCGUAAAGCGCGCGCAGGCGGUUCCUUAAGUCUGAUGUGAAAGCCCACAGCUCAACUGUGGAGGGCCAUUGGAAACUGGGGAACUUGAGUACAGAAGAGGAGAGCGGAAUUCCACGUGUAGCGGUGAAAUGCGUA
Molecule: ribosomal RNA, 506 nt
Filed under: Pontibacillus sp. SS13-3
Lineage: Bacteria; Bacillati; Bacillota; Bacilli; Caryophanales; Bacillaceae
Description: bacterial SSU rRNA
Rfam family: Bacterial small subunit ribosomal RNA
Source: RNAcentral